CGCGAGCAGGGCGUGCUGAGUGGCGGAGGGCCGGUUAGGCUACGGCACUGCGUGAUGUGCUCUUGUUGUCUUUUGCCUUAUUAUUAUUUCUCUGCCUCCGUGUUAACGGGUUCCCGCAUGAAUCAGGGGUGUCAGGGUUUCAGGAUGAGUGCAUUAAAACUUUGGUACUGAAGGAGGUGUUCCUCACGGACCUUCUUGACAGAUCACGGAGGCAGCAGGGCCAGCAGGUGGCAGCAGCCUGCAAGGAAGGGCUGGAGGGCAGAUCCAUAUCCGAACGGCCGGCUUGAGCCGGCGGCUUGGCUCGUGUGCUGCCGUGCCUGAGGCACCCCGGCACGGUGCAGUCCUUCUGCUUUUUGGUCUCCUGACGGCAUGUUAGGAGUUAGGUGUUCCUCCUGCCGGCUCAGAUCGGGCUACAACUUUAAUAAGCCUCCUGGGCCUUUCUUUGGAAAUUUCAUCUGCAACUCUAAAUAAACCCGCUUGUAUCUCUGAUGCUUCCAUUUGGAUUAAAAAGCCAAAUGAUCUUGUUUUAAGUUUCGUACAGGGAACGUUUGAAGGUACAUGGAGAUGGAUAACCAACACUGGACCUGGGCUCCAACUUAGCACACAGAAAAAUAAACACAUUUUUAAGCUUUUUUUUUUCCUGCUUUCUUUAACAAAUUGUUCUGAGCCUGUUGUAGUGCUUAAAUUCA
RNAcentral lists this long non-coding RNA (689 nucleotides) under Gallus gallus (chicken). The record is from RNAcentral. Lineage: Eukaryota; Metazoa; Chordata; Aves; Galliformes; Phasianidae.